Molecule: non-coding RNA, 178 nt
Organism: Pelobates cultripes (western spadefoot toad)
Lineage: Eukaryota; Metazoa; Chordata; Amphibia; Anura; Pelobatidae
Source: the annotation of a GenBank genome assembly
AGAGAGAGAGAAAAAAAAACAAGCAAACAGUGCAGACGAUGGUGCUAGAAUAGGAGAGGGGAAAAAAUAAUUACUUAUAUUAAGAAUGCAUGAAUUCCCAUUCAAGAGUUACAGGAUAUUCAUGAAGGCCGAUAUCCAGCACUGCACUGUUUGCUUGGUUUUUUUUCUCUCUCUCCCC